GACGAACGCUGGCGGCGUGCUUAACACAUGCAAGUCGAGCGGUAAGGCCCCUUCGGGGGUACACGAGCGGCGAACGGGUGAGUAACACGUGAGCAAUCUGCCCUUCACUUUGGGAUAACUCUGGGAAACGAGAGCUAAUACCGAAUACGACCACUUCAGGCAUCUGAUGGUGGUGGAAAGUUCCGGCGGUGAAGGAUGAGCUCGCGGCCUAUCAGCUAGUUGGUGGAGUAACGGCCCACCAAGGCUUCGACGGGUAGCCGGCCUGAGAGGGUGACCGGCCACACUGGGACUGAGACACGGCCCAGACUCCUACGGAGGCAGCAGUGGGGAAUAUUGGACAAUGGGCGAAAGCCUGAUCCAGCAACGCCGCGUGAGGGAUGACGGCCUUCGGUU
Molecule: ribosomal RNA, 393 nt
Filed under: uncultured bacterium
Lineage: Bacteria
Description: bacterial SSU rRNA
Rfam family: Bacterial small subunit ribosomal RNA
Source: RNAcentral